AUACUUACCUGGCCAGGGAGAGAGAAUGAUCAGAAAGGUGGUUUUUCCAGGGGGAGGCUUAUCCAUUGCACUCUGUAUGUGCUGACCCCUGUGACAUCCCCAAAUGUGGGAAACUCUACUACAGAAUUUGUGAUAGUGGGGGCUGUGUUUGUGCUUUCCCCUG
This is a small nuclear RNA of Suricata suricatta (meerkat), 163 nucleotides long. Its record names the gene U1. It matches the Rfam family "U1 spliceosomal RNA". From Rfam's summary of the family: U1 is a small nuclear RNA (snRNA) component of the spliceosome (involved in pre-mRNA splicing). NCBI's taxonomy places the organism in Eukaryota, Metazoa, Chordata, Mammalia, Carnivora, Herpestidae. The record is from Ensembl.